GGGCGCGAGGCCCGGGUGGGCCAGAGAGGCAGGUCCUCGUCCCUCGGGCCCGUGGCGCUGUCGUGGAUGAACCCUCUCUUUGGGUCUGUAUUGGGACCCCUUUCCAGUACCAUUUUUUCUAGUGAACCACGAAGGGACGAUACCAGAAAACACCCUCAACCCAAAGGAAAUAGACUACAGCCCCAAUUGGCUGACUUUGGCUAUAGAAAAAAGAAAGGAACGAAAAGAGACAGUUUUUUUUGGAAAGCUAAGUCUUCCCUUUAUCGAG
This 268-nucleotide long non-coding RNA is filed under the name Homo sapiens (human). Its description in RNAcentral is "HSALNT0338372". Lineage: Eukaryota; Metazoa; Chordata; Mammalia; Primates; Hominidae. The record is from RNAcentral.